UUUAGUCAGGCAACGAGCGAGACCCACGCGAGCAGUUGCCAGCUUGACCUUCGGGUUGAUGGGGACACUGCUCGGACCGCCUCUGCUAAAGGGGAGGAAGGAAUGGGCAACGGUAGGUCAGCAUGCCCCGAAUUAUCCGGGCUACACGCGGGCUACAAUGGACAGGACAAUGGGUUUCGACACCGAGAGGUGAGGAUAAUCUCCUAAACCUGUCCGAAGUUCGGAUUGCGGGUUGUAACUCACCCGCAUGAAGCUGGAAUCCGUAGUAAUCGCGUUUCAACAUAGCGCGGUGAAUAUGUCCCUGCUCCUUGCACACACCGCCCGUCAAACCACCCGAGUGAGGUCUUGAUGAG
This 353-nucleotide ribosomal RNA is filed under the name uncultured methanogenic archaeon. Its description in RNAcentral is "bacterial SSU rRNA". It matches the Rfam family "Archaeal small subunit ribosomal RNA", at positions 1029 to 1381 of the family's 1478-position model. The record is from RNAcentral. Lineage: Archaea; Methanobacteriati; Methanobacteriota.